This 92-nucleotide transfer RNA is filed under the name Pseudodesulfovibrio sediminis. RNAcentral's name for it is "tRNA-Gln". The record is from RNAcentral. Lineage: Bacteria; Pseudomonadati; Thermodesulfobacteriota; Desulfovibrionia; Desulfovibrionales; Desulfovibrionaceae.
CGGUCACUGGGGCGGAUGGCUCCUGAAUACUCUGGGUAUUCACGGCCUGGGUGGCAUCGUUGCCGCCAUCGGUCAUACUCCGAUGCCGCUGU